UGCUAUUCGGCGUCGAGCGGCGGACGGGUGAGUAAUGCUUGGGAAUAUGCCUUUUGGUGGGGGACAACAGUUGGAAACGACUGCUAAUACCGCAUAAUGUCUACGGACCAAAGUGGGGGACCUUCGGGCCUCAUGCCAAGAGAUUAGCCCAAGUGAGAUUAGCUAGUUGGUAAGGUAAUGGCUUACCAAGGCGACGAUCUCUAGCUGGUUUGAGAGGAUGAUCAGCCACACUGGGACUGAGACACGGCCCAGACUCCUACGGGAGGCAGCAGUGGGGAAUAUUGCACAAUGGGCGCAAGCCUGAUGCAGCCAUGCCGCGUGUGUGAAGAAGGCCUUCGGGUUGUAAAGCACUUUCAGUUGUGAGGAAAGGGGUGUAGUUAAUAACUGCAUCCUGUGACGUUAGCAACAGAAGAAGGACCGGCUAACUCCGUGCCAGCAGCCGCGGUAAUACGGAGGGUCCGAGCGUUAAUCGGAAUUACUGGGCGUAAAGCGUGCGUAGGCGGUUUGUUAAGCAAGAUGUGAAAGCCCAGGGCUCAACCUUGGAACUGCAUUUUGAACUGGCAGACUAGAGUAUUGUAGAGGGUGGUGGAAUUUCCAGUGUAGCGGUGAAAUGCGUAGAGAUUGGAAGGAACAUCAGUGGCGAAGGCGGCCACCUGGACAAAUACUGACGCUGAGGUACGAAAGCGUGGGGAGCGAACAGGAUUAGAUACCCUGGUAGUCCACGCCGUAAACGAUGUCAACUAGCCCGUCUGUAGACUUGAUCUGUGGGUGGCGUAGCUAACGCGCUAAAGUUGACCGCCCUGGGGGAGUACGGCCGCAAGGUUAAAACUCAAAUGAAUUGAACGGGGGGCC
This 852-nucleotide ribosomal RNA is filed under the name uncultured bacterium. Its description in RNAcentral is "bacterial SSU rRNA". It matches the Rfam family "Bacterial small subunit ribosomal RNA", at positions 75 to 922 of the family's 1533-position model. The record is from RNAcentral.